UACGGAAUGUGCAAACGUUAUUCGGAAUCACUGGGCUUAAAGAGUCCGUAGGCGGCAUGUUAGGUGAGGUGUGAAAUCCCCCGGCUCAACCGAGGAAUUGCGCUUCAAACCGGCAUGCUAGAGGAAGAUAGAGGUGGGCGGAACUGAUGGUGGAGCGGUGAAAUGCGUUGAUAUCAUCAGGAACACCGGAGGCGAAAGCGGCCCACUGGGUCUUUUCUGACGCUGAGGGACGAAAGCUAGGGGAGCGAACGGG
This 253-nucleotide ribosomal RNA is filed under the name uncultured bacterium. RNAcentral describes it as "partial 16S ribosomal RNA". It matches the Rfam family "Bacterial small subunit ribosomal RNA", at positions 524 to 776 of the family's 1533-position model. The record is from RNAcentral.